RNAcentral lists this ribosomal RNA (274 nucleotides) under uncultured bacterium. RNAcentral describes it as "partial 16S ribosomal RNA". It matches the Rfam family "Bacterial small subunit ribosomal RNA", at positions 523 to 796 of the family's 1533-position model. The record is from RNAcentral.
AUACAGAGGGUGCGAGCGUUAAUCGGAAUUACUGGGCGUAAAGCGCGCGUAGGCGGCUUAUUAAGUCAGAUGUGAAAUCCCCGGGCUCAACCUGGGAACUGCAUCUGAUACUGGUAAGCUAGAGUUUUGGAGAGGGAAGUAGAAUUUCAGGUGUAGCGGUGAAAUGCAUAGAGAUCUGAAGGAAUACCAGUGGCGAAGGCGACUUCCUGGCCAAAAACUGACGCUGAGGUGCGAAAGCGUGGGGAGCAAACAGGAUUAGAAACCCUAGUAGUCC